UUCUUAUUGGAUUAUGACUGCCACAUGUCAUGUUCUGAUUGGUCAAUGAAAACAACAAUGCAUUUCAUCUUUCAUGGAGUUGACAUCCAAUUAUAACAUGACACGUGACAAUCAUCAUCC
Molecule: microRNA precursor, 120 nt
Filed under: Glycine max (soybean)
Lineage: Eukaryota; Viridiplantae; Streptophyta; Magnoliopsida; Fabales; Fabaceae
Description: MIR1520 microRNA precursor family
Rfam family: MIR1520 microRNA precursor family
Source: Rfam by way of RNAcentral